UCUGUGGGCAUCACUAAUGUAGCAGAUACAGAAAAUUAUCUUUAUUCAUUUUGGCAUCAAUCAAGGAAAGAAACAUUUCACAUAGUUAAAAAGCACUUAGCCCAGUGCGGGACUCGUCGUAAGUAUGCAAUAAUUGUAAGUUAUGGCUGUGAUCGCUACCAUUGUUACAUCACAACACCUAGGACAGAAUCUGUUAUUUUGCCUGGGGAGAUGAUAAAUCUCUUCACGAAUGUAGGGUCCCACUCGAACCUCAGACACUGCUCAGGGAGACUGCAGGGUGACACAGACCACAUGCGUCAUGGCAGAGCCCUCAUCUUGAAUUGUGACUGGGUUCAAGUGCUCACUAUUCACUUGUCAACCAAUGCUUGUUGAACUCUUGGCCGGCGUGGGGUAGGGCACACCCCUGCCUUCUGCCUCUCGGGAAGCCAUUCAUUCAUUUUCAAGUACUUGUGGAACAUCCGGUGGUCAUUUUAAGGAGUGGGUUAGAGGCAUUUAGACCACAAUCUCCAUCAGUCUUGCCGUCCAAACUCGCCCUGUGUCUGGAGGACAAGCCAUGCGUUUUCCUGGGCUGUGUCCCACGCUCGGAAAAGGGCAGGCCCACCUCUGGGGCUGGGGGGAAAGGCCGCCCUCCCGGAGUCCGUCCAGGGAGCCUGGAAGCAGCGCCUCCUGCUGGGACGAUGCAGUCUCUGCACUUGGGUGCCGGCCCGGUGCUUGAGGUUCUCUGCCCACAGUCCCAGGCUCACCCCACGCAGGGCUGGCUUCCACGUGCAGGACCACAAAACCACGUCUGGAUCCAUGGUGUUUCGGUAGAAGCCAGCAAAGAUGCUGCACGUCUGCUCAGUGCUCUCCGCCAAAGGCUUGCUCCUAUGAAGGAAGCUUCAGAACCAUCCCGGAGGGAAGUCUUCUCAUUAAGUAACAGUCAAUGAAAAAAGUUUCCAAUGUGAUGGUGCAUAGAAUCAUCUGAGUGGCGUGUUUAGACACCGCUGAGGAGCCUACUGCAAGAACCCAGUAGGUUCUCAAGGGAGGUCAGCGGUCUGCACUUCCAGCUCGUCGGGUGGUCAGAGACCCACACUGUUGAGAGCCACUGCGGCUGGAGCUUGUCAUGGUGCUGCUCACAGCCUCAGCCUGGAAUGGCAGGGCCGCGGCGGGAAGAGUCUCUGUCCUGCCGGGACAGCUCGCAGGAAGCAGGGCCUCCCAAAGGCCCUCGGAGACCUGCAAUAGUGUGUCUGUAAGGGUGAGCGUUGUGGUGGAGGUUGGGAUUCAC
RNAcentral lists this long non-coding RNA (1264 nucleotides) under Homo sapiens (human). Its description in RNAcentral is "HSALNT0157350". The record is from RNAcentral. Lineage: Eukaryota; Metazoa; Chordata; Mammalia; Primates; Hominidae.